Molecule: ribosomal RNA, 958 nt
Filed under: Pleurotheciella rivularia
Lineage: Eukaryota; Fungi; Ascomycota; Sordariomycetes; Pleurotheciales; Pleurotheciaceae
Description: SSU rRNA
Rfam family: Eukaryotic small subunit ribosomal RNA
Source: RNAcentral
UUGAUAGUACCUAUCCUACAUGGAUAACAGUGGUAAUUCUAGAGCUAAUACAUGCUGAAAAUCCCGACUUCGGAAGGGACGUAUUUAUUAGAAUCAGAACCAAUGCCCUUCGGGGUUUCCUGGUGACUCAUGAUAACUCCACAGAUCGCAUGGCCUUGCGCCGGCGAUGGCUCAUUCAAAUUUCUUCCCUAUCAACUUUCGACGGUACGGUCUUGGCCUACCGUGGUUGUAACGGGUGACGGAGGGUUAGGGCUCGACCCCGGAGAGAGAGCCUGAGAAACGGCUAUCACAUCCAAGGAAGGCAGCAGGCGCGCAAAUUAUCCAAUCCCGACUCGGGGAGAUAGUGACAAUAAAUACCGAUACAGGGCUCUUUUGGGCCCUGUAAUUGGAAUGAGUACAAUUUAAACCUCUUAACGAGGAACAAUUGGAGGGCAAGUCUGGUGCCAGCAGCCGCGGUAAUUCCAGCUCCAAUAGCGUAUAUUAAAGUUGUUGUGGUUAAAAAGCUCGUAGUCGAACCUCGAGCCUGGCCGGCCGGUCCGCCUCACCGCGUGCACUGGUCUGGCCGGGCUCUUCCCUCUGCGGAACCGCAUGUCCUUCACUGGGCGUGUCGGGGAGGCAGGACUUUUACUUUGAAAAAAUUAGAGUGCUCAAGGCAGGCCAAUGCUCGAAUACAUUAGCAUGGAAUAAUAGAAUAGGACGUUGGUUCUAUUUUGUUGGUUUCUAGGACCGCCGUAAUGAUCAAUAGGGACGGUCGGGGGCAUCAGUAUUCAGCCGUCAGAGGUGAAAUUCUUGGACCGGCUGAAGACUAACUACUGCGAAAGCAUUUGCCAAGGACGUUUUCGCUGAUCAGGAACGAAAGUUAGGGGAUCGAAGACGAUCAGAUACCGUCGUAGUCUUAACCAUAAACUAUGCCGACUAGGGAUCGGGCGGCGUUCUUUCUAGACCCGCUCGGCACUAU